Molecule: long non-coding RNA, 2407 nt
Filed under: Olea europaea subsp. europaea
Lineage: Eukaryota; Viridiplantae; Streptophyta; Magnoliopsida; Lamiales; Oleaceae
Source: RNAcentral
UUUUAUUUUGAAAAUGUGUAGUCGAAAAUGAGUUUGAGAACAAAAGAGUUUUGUUAUACUGAUUGUCAAACAGGGCCAUAAUUUUCUGAUCAAAUAAUCUAUUUGGCUAUCGUGUACACACCAGAUAUGCAACCAAGGUCGCCAAAAUGCGCUGGCUGAGAUCUUGGAGAUACUAACAAUGGUAUGUGAGACUCACACAUUACCGCUGGCUCAGACAUGGAUUCCUUGCAGACAUCGGAAUGUCCUAGCAGAUGGCGGAGGUUUUAAGAAAACUUGCAGUAGCUUUGAUGGAAGUUGCAUGGGACAGGUAUGCAUGUCAACAACUGAUGUAUCAUAUUAUGUGGUAGAUGCGCAUAUGUGGGGCUUCCGCGAGGCCUGUGCCGAGCAUCACUUACAGAAGGGCCAGGGAGUUGCCGGGAGGGCAUUUGAGUCGCAUAACUUGUGCUUCUGUGACGAUAUCACCCAAUUCUGCAAAACAGAGUAUCCCUUGGUACAUUAUGCUCGCAUGUUUGGGUUGAAAAGUAGCAUCGCAAUUUGUUUACGGAGCCGUCAUACUGGAAAUGACGAUUACGUUUUAGAAUUCUUUCUUCCUCCAAAUAUCCAAGACCAGAGUGACCAAAGGACUUUGUUGGAUGCAGUGUUGAUGACAAUGAAACAGCAUUUUGGGAGCCUGAGGGUUGCUUCAGGGAAUGACCUCGAACAUGAAUGGAGAUCUGUUGAGAUUAUAAAAGCAUCCAUGGAUGAGAAAUUUGAUUCAAGGUUUGAUUUUGCUGCAAAUUCUCCCCUAAAGUCUGCUGCCUUGCCAAAUGAAGAGGCAGUGCAUCUUCAUUCACUGGAAAAGCAGCAAUUGGAAGGAUUUAAUGCUACUAAUAAUGAAGAAAAUGCUGUAUCUUUUGUUGAGAAUAAAGAACAGGUCAAGAAAUCAGAGAGAAAACGAGGAAAGGCAGAGAAGACGAUCAGCCUAGAGGUUCUGCAGCAAUACUUCGCCGGGAGUCUUAAGGAUGCUGCCAAGAGUCUUGGUGGUAUGCUUUAAUCUUAGUGCCCGUUGCUUAUCAUUUUAUUCACUUCAAAUGAUUCUCUUGAAUAAUUAUAAUUAUAAUUUAUUUUUAUUUUAUUAUUAUUAUUAUUAUUUUUUUUUUUGUGACUUAUACAGUUUGUCCUACUACCAUGAAGCGCAUCUGCAGGCAACAUGGGAUCUUAAGAUGGCCCUCUCGUAAGAUUAACAAAGUUAAUCAUUCUCUUUCUAAGCUAAAACGCGUAAUUGAAUCUGUACAAGGUGCUGAAGGAGCAUUCAGUUUGACUUCUUUGGCUACAAAUUCGAUUCCUGUUGCUGUUGGUUCAAUUUCAUGGUCAGCAAGUAUGAACGAGCCGCCUGAUCAACAAAGUUCACCAAGGCCUAGACCAUCUGAAUUUCGAGAGGAUGAGCAUGAACUUCCUACCCUUCAGGCAUCUGGAGGCGAUGAACUGACAGAGAUUUUAGGAACUGAGGAACUUAUCCCGCAGCAAACUGGAACUUUGCUCUGUGAAGGUUCUAUCAGAUCAAAAACAGGGAGUAGGUCGAGAGAAGAAAGCACAGGAACCCCAACUUCUUAUGGUUCAUGCCAAGAUAGUCCUUUUCUUGGAAAUGAAAACUCCCUACAAAAUGAUCCAGCCGUUUCACUUGUCAAUGAAAAUCACAUAAAACUCACGAGUUCACUUGAGUUUACAUGUCAACCAAUGAAGGAGAUUAAUUUAUCCGUUGCAUUGUCGUUACCCAAACCCGAUGAUUUUGUUACAGCACCCCGAGAGCCAUUUGGAGAAAUGCUAAUUGAGGAUGCAGGAAGCUCACGCAAUCUUUGUAAUCUUUGCCCAGAUCGUGAGACUUUGUUUGAUGAACACGUCCCAGAAUACAGUGGGACGAAACAACCAUGUUUUGAUGCAAUUCCCAGUUCCACGGUUGUUCCUAUUGAUCGAAUGCCACAGGUUUCUACCGGGACAGAACUGAAAACCAUCACGAUAAAAGCCACUUACCAAGAAGAUAUUAUUAGGUUUCGACUCUCUUUGGGCUCGGGCAUUGUCACGUUGAAGGAGGAAGUGGCAAAGAGGCUGAAGAUGGAGGUUGGCACGUUUGAUAUCAAGUACUUAGACGACGAUCAUGAGUGGGUUCUAAUUGCUUGUGACGCAGACUUGCAGGAAUGCAUUGAUGUUUCGAGGUCGUCAGGUAGAAAUAUAAUCAGACUGUUGAUUCAUGAUAUAAUGGGCAAUCUUGGGAGCUCCUGCGAGAGUUCGGGUGAAUGAGGAAUAGGGUUGUACAUAGUAAGCUCGUAGGAAAAUUCUUGCAGUCUCUGGUGAGUUCAAGUGUAAUUGUAAAUUUUGAUUAUGACCCUUCUUAAAUUUUAAGAAUUUAGUUGAUUUUUGAGCAUUUAGA